RNAcentral lists this ribosomal RNA (466 nucleotides) under uncultured deep-sea bacterium. RNAcentral's name for it is "bacterial SSU rRNA". It matches the Rfam family "Bacterial small subunit ribosomal RNA", at positions 1033 to 1498 of the family's 1533-position model. The record is from RNAcentral.
CACAGGUGCUGCAUGGCUGUCGUCAGCUCGUGUCGUGAGAUGUUGGGUUAACCCCCGCAACGAGCGCAACCCUUACCUUUAGUUGCUAGCGGGUCAAGCCGGGAACUCUAAAGGAACUGUCGGUGAUAAACCGGAGGAAGGUGGGGAUGACGUCAAGUCCUCAUGGCCCUUAUGUCCAGGGCUACACACGUGCUACAAUGGCCGGUACAAAGAGUCGCAAUCUUGCGAGGUGGAGCUAAUCUCAAAACGCCGGUCUCAGUUCGGAUUGGAGUCUGCAACUCGACUCCAUGAAGUUGGAAUCGCUAGUAAUCGUGGAUCAGCAUGCCACGGUGAAUACGUUCCCGGGCCUUGUACACACCGCCCGUCACACCAUGAAAGCUGAUUGUACCAGAAGUCAAGAUGCCAACCUUCGGGGGGCUACUGCCUAAGGUGUGGUUAGUGAUCGGGGUGAAGUCGUAACAAGGUA